Scophthalmus maximus (turbot) is the source of this 7023-nucleotide long non-coding RNA. RefSeq lists it as uncharacterized. The record is from RefSeq and is a predicted model, not a curated record. NCBI's taxonomy places the organism in Eukaryota, Metazoa, Chordata, Actinopteri, Pleuronectiformes, Scophthalmidae. The transcript has 4 exons.
CGCGACUGGCAGACCACCGUAACACGCGCACAACAAAGCAAAGCUCGCAAGAAUCAAAUCGCCCUUCCACAUAUCAGCCAGUGGUCCAGAAGGUCCAGAUGGCCUGUCCGCCCUUUCUUGCCUCCGCAACACGCUGAAUCUCACGGAAUAUUUUGGGAAGCAGGCAAGCUGUUUCCAGUCUCUAUGCUAAAGUUAAGUUAACCCUCCCCCAGCUUUAACCUUCUUCUCAUAAGAAGGUGAAUCAGCCUAUUUUCCCAAAAAUAUUGAUCUUUCUGUUGGUCUCCUCGAGAUAAUAUGAAUUAAGGUGAAAUGUGCGGUGUUUGUUGGUUGCUGCCACAAGGCUGUGGGUGAAUUUGCUUUGUCAUGAGCGCCGCGCGGGACACACGACCCCCUCCGCAGCGAGCUCCCCGCUGGCAUCUGUACCAGGUCAAGCUCGCCAUCAAGAAUGCCGUCUAUUUCCAGUUGACCCGCCGUGACAGCUUGUUGUACCCGGGCCAUUCGAUUACGGCUGCCAGAGCGGAGGAAGAGGAGGACGAGGAAGACGCGUGUGGGGUUUCCUGGGAAGCUCCCUGCCAGACAUCUGCUGCCGUCACUCCAUCACCAUCACCACCUCGCUCCCACCCUGCCACCACGCUGUCUAUAUCUGCGAUUUGCCCUUGUUCCGUCUCAGCGUCUCACUCAGAGACGGCUCUUUGUGGCGAGCAGCAGCGCUCCACUGAAUUAUUCAAAGUGCUGGGCACGGACAGACAGUGGAUUAAGUGCCCGUAGAGGAGGAGGAGGUAGAGGGAUGAAGGGGCGAGAGGGGGUUGAGCCCAUUAGACAUGAGGACCUGAGGGAAAAUUAAUUGACGAGGCAGCGGGGCGUUGGCGGCAGUGUUAAAUCAGUUGGUUGUCUGCGUGGAAAGACGCGAUACUGUCAGAAAUGAAAAAAGAGAAAGGGGGGGGGGAAGAGCGAGAGAGCGAGCAGGCACCAUGUCACAUGACCACCGGGAGAUCCCUGAGCAGAGCAGGUCACCUGACUGACUGGAAGUCCACCCUGCUGCCUGAGAACGAUUCCCAGAAGUUACGUCUGUGUGUGUGUGUGUGUGUGUGUGUGUGUGUGUGCGUGCGAGCGAGCGAGCGAGCGAGCGAGCGAAACAAUGCCUCCUGUCCUUGCCCCUAAUACGGCAUGUGUGACAUUGUCACAUAGUCACUUUGUGGGGUAGUUUUGUCUCUUUUACUCGAUUUGAAAUGAAAUAUAUUCACCCUGUUGUUUUUUCAAUCACAUUCAGACAACUCUGGCGGUAGAGUUCCAUGGGUUCCUGUAGAUACAUAAUUGUCAGUGAGGAAUGAAAAGAGGAUUUUGAUGAAACAAAGUUGUGUUGUUGAGUUGCUGUGACUGAUCACAGUCUUUACGAGGAUAAUUCUCCCUCCUCGUCUUCUGCUGGAUCUUUUAGCCCAGCUGUCUCCCACCCACUCAGUCAGACACAGAUGUACAAUUUCACAAGCCAACACUGCCAGGGCAUCAUUUACAUAUCAUUGUGUGUUGAGGUCAGAGAGUCAGGGGGGAUUCGAACAGUUAUGUUUCUUAGAAAACAGAAAGGUCUAAUCUGUUGAAGUGAGCUCUGAGCUGAAGAUCAUCGUUUUACCGGACUGCGGUCUCCGUUCCUCUUGUUCUGGAGGCCAGUGUGGUCAGUGACUAACCAGUGGCUGUGUGUGGGUGUGGGGUCAAGGGAGUUCCAUCAAUCUAGUUUCAACUUUGUUUGUACAGUUUUGUGGCCAAAGACUUUUUUUACUCUUCAGGUAUUGAAGCAAUUCUGGGUUUUUUCUGUCUCCUACAUUGUAAUAACCCCCCAAAAGUCCAACGAGGCCAGAUUCAUAGGAAAUUCUCGAUGAAAACGUGAGACUGUAAGUGUUUAGAAACCAAUAAUUGUAAAUGAACUGUAUAUAUAUAUUGCACUUUUUCUAUCCCACAUUCAGACACUGCCGGCACAGCAGUCAGGGAUGACCCGCUUGACCUCCUGAGCCACAGCCCUAUUGUAGUUCUUCUGUCUGUCUGGUGUGGUUUGAUAUUGAUGAUAUCAAAUCUAUAUGCUUAAAUUUAAAAAAUAAAUGCAAAAGAGAGAAGCAACAUAGCAUGCAACUGAGACAUUGUACAACAGCAGUUUAAAAACACAAUAGGUUUUAGAAAAAUUAAAAAUUAAAACUUUCAAAUUCCCCCCCCCCCCCCCCCAACAGUUGGUAGUGGCAUACUCUGCCCAAUCCUCGGUUUCAUAGGAAUUCUUAUGCUGAGUAAGACAUUAGUCACAGGGCUUUGAAGGUUAUACAGUCAUAGUUCAUACUCAGUGGACACUGCUAAGUUCCUGCUGAGGCUGAUGGGGCAUUAUUCAAAGGCCUGCGCAGCCCGGGAGUGUGACUGAAUAAACACAUUGCAACCAUAACGGCACAGUUCGUUGACAGACUUUAUGGCCCUUCUCUGAGCGAAGCGCCUUCAAGCUUUGUAGAGCGGGAGAAAAAAUGCACUCGGCGUGAAAAGACGUGAAAUAGUUUCCAUGCGAACUCGUCGGCUUGUGUUCCCUGGAGGACGUCCGCUCGUUGGUUUAUAUGUCCCCAGUGGGAAUCUGCUGUUUGCUUUAGUUCCGGGCGGAUUGCGCUCUGGGUUUGUGGGUCUGUGUUUUCAGGCCAGUAGCUCCAGUAACAGGACCAGGCACAACUCGUCUGUGUUUUCAAAAGGAAGCUCUGAAGCUGUUGUUGCUCUCAUUUCUAAAAUAUUUUCUUUUGUUGAAAGAAUGAUAAUUAUGAAAAAGUAUCCCCUGGUUAUAGGUAAAUGUAGGCGAGGUUAACCGUCCUUGAGGUUGACUGAAAUACACGUGUCCACCUCUUGGUUUCAGAGCACCAGUUUUUUUUUCUUUUUCAGAACAUCAAUAAUGAAGAGUAACUGCACAGAUGCAGAGCUUUAAAAACACUGUGCUGCCAGGAGCAGUCGUGAGCCAGCAUUGCUGCGAUGAGGGCAGUACAAAAAAACAGAACAGCUCUGUUGUAUCCAUAAUCAAUCAGACAGACAUCUGGCAGUGAUUCAUUCUAUAAAACUGCACUGUAUUUCAGUUUCAUACCUGCUCUCCUCAGACUCUGUCUCCGUCUCCAUCCUCCUUCAUCUCUCCCUCUAAACAUAAUUGAAGUGCUGCUCCACUCCUAUGUAACCUAAUGCCUGUCCCACAGCCCUAAAGUGUCAUUUGGGCCGCAGCUUAAGUACUCUGUGAGCUCUGUGUGCUCUGUGCUGCGCUCUAACCCGUACAGAUCAGCACAAGCCCAGAUUAGGCAAAUGAAUAAUUCAGUUUAUUGGUUUAAAUGCAGUUUGUGGUAAAAGACGGUAAUAUAACCUCUUAGACUUACUGACCCUCUUCAGUUCAAUUCUACGUCCUGAGGAUCGUGCAUAUAUGUCCGUCAACGUGUCUUAAGUUUUAGGACCAAUGAGGUGACGACCCUCAAAUGUUCCUUCCGAAACUUGGGGACGCAUAAUCUGUGUGUGUGUGUGUGUGUGUGUGUGUGUGUGUGUGUGUGUGUGUGUGUGUGUUUGUGUGUAUGUGUGUAUGUGUGUGUGUGUGUGUGUGUGUGUGUGUGUGUGAGUGUGUUAGUGUGUGUGUAAUAACCAUGAUAUCGAGGGUCUUUGGCAGAGCUGACGCAGCAAAUUCCCUCAAGCCCAUAUAUUUGUCGCUCCUCCCUCUGAUCGAUAUUGUAAGAGAUGUUGUCUUAUUGAAGUGAUCCAGGAGAGGUAGUUAUUAGCCAUCAUUCACCAAUCACUGAUAUUUUGCUUCUAGCUGAGGGCAGCAACUUUUUUAUCUCAGCCUGUGCUGAUGCAUCCGACGGGGCUGAGAUCAACCUGAUGAUCUCAUGAUGCAGUCUUACGGCAGGUCUGCUCUUGGCCUAUGACGAGGUGAACUAUCCACAGCAUUCACCCACGCAGCAGCCUCAACCCUCCACCUUACCUGAUCCUGACAGGCUGCAAAGAGAAAGGUCACAGUUCAGCAUGUGUGUGGCUCACUCCAUCAGCUGCAGGCAGCUGGCCCGGGUUGACCCCAGCGGGUUCUUCGCAGACGUAGUCGUGGUCGUGUGCCAGCGGCAGGGAUCUCUGGGAGCAGACCCAGGCAAUGAUGUCAUUGCCAGCCAGACCAAGGAGCCGCACAAAUCUGUGACACUGUGUCUUCGAAGGAGAUGGAGCCAAGCACAGUGUGUGUGUGUUAACAUAGUAACAGUUUAUGUGUGUCCAUGGUGUGGACAUGCCUAUUGUCGAUUGUCUGUGCCUGGUGUGAGUCAGUCACACUCUUCCUGCAUGCUCUAGCCUUCAAAAGAUGACCCCCUAAAGAUUGUUCAUGUGUGUGUUUGUGUGUGUGUGUGUGUGUGUGUGUGUGUGUGUGUGUGGGAUUCUCUCAUAUGGAGAGAGAAAAAAAAGGGGCUGUUUUUCUCUCUUUCAGGUUUAUGGCAACUUAAGUUUAAAGCUGCUGUGAGUUGGAUGUCGGGGGAGAGGCGAUGACAGUCUGAUGGUCUAAUCCAAUAGGUCUUUUCAUAUGGUGGAAACAGCCGAAUUCACCAUGGCGAUUUUCCCAUUUCUCGUCGACCUGACACUAGUUCCUCUGAGAUGUAUGGGGCCCGUCUGAUGCUUUCCAUGUCAUAUUUGUUUCUGUUUGGCUAGUGAGGGGAGGGGUGAAGCAGGGAGCCAGAGAGAAGAAUCAUUGAAGUGCGAGCCAGUGUUUAUGUUUGUGUCUGGGUUUCCCUCUCGCUCUCUCUCCCUCAUACCCACAACAGCAAGCUUGAUUUCUUUUCCCUCCUUCCCCCUACCUGCCUCCCUCGCGGCCUCCCACUCUCAAAUACAAUUCAAGUCAGCCCCAAAUGAACCUGCCCUUCCUCGACUCUCCCUCCUCCCUGCUGUCUCCCUAUGCACCUGCCAAACUUUACUCUUCAGCCAAUGUUUGUUCUCCAGUCUGGCUCUUGGCGUGGUCCGUCUGGACGCUGAGGAGGAGGAAAACCCAUCAGGUGGCGCACAGCUGGGAGGAGCCGCAAGGCCAGGAAGAAAGAGCGCCUGUGGUACGGGCCUCGGGAUUUUCCAUUGGAACAGCCGAAACCCAGACGUCUGCGCAAGCUUUAUCAGGAAGGAGUUUGUUCCAAACGCACACACACUGCACAACAACACACAUAGAGAAUUCCGACUGGAGGAGGUGUGUGUAAAAUUAUGGAAAUUUCAAUAGCCUGGUCGACUCGUGCCAACUCUCCUUCUCUUUUCUGUCUGUGCAUGUGUUUGUGUGAUUGUGACUAAAUUGAAUCGGCACUUCUGUUUUCAGAAGGCAGGUUUCAGAUAACUACCCAUUCCCCUGUCUACUUCUCUUUCUACCCAAACACAUUAGCACCCACAGCGCUGCUCCAAUAAGGCCUCUCACCUCUGUAAUAUGAGGGUCACCCCACACUGACUUUAACUCAUUUCACCUCAUUUCGUAGCUUCAGAGUUACCCCCAGGGUCAUUACACUGAGACACACUGCCCUGCUGACCUGCCUGUCAACACCCGGAGACAUGCAAAACCUCCACCACCACUCUGCGGGAGACUACAAAAAAUUAUAAAUGUUGAAAAAUACAAUUCAAUAUAUGAAGACAUAGAUUAAGAUAUAUAAUAGGAUACCAUACAUAUAUGGCAAAUGGCCUGUAUUAUAUACCUAUUCUCUAGUCUUAUGGACCACCCAAAGCGCUUUACAGUACAUUCAACCAUUAACACAAACACACACACACACACAAACACAUUCAUACAGCGUUUCUAUGCAUAGCACUUUAUGUCUUGCCCAAAAACACUACAGCACACGGUCCAGACGACCUGGUGUCGAACCGUCAACCUUCUGGUUAGCCAGAAUGCCCAUGUCUGCAAUUUGUACAAUAUCAGUAUUUUUUCUAAUAUUCUAAUUCCAGCCUCAGUUUGAAGCUUUUUUUUUCUGAAUGUGCAGGUUUUUAUUCUGACUUACCGAAAGCAAUGGAAACAACAUCAUUUCCAGAUCAGGUUAGUUGUGCGUCUCAAGCAAAUGUCGUAGGUUUGGUCCCACACAUUCAGUAAGAAUGGAAGACAAAUUACUGUAACAGUCAAGACGGCUGGUCAUUUACCACAAGGCCACAAUGUUUGGUACCUGAGCUUUACUGUAAAAGUAAUAAGGGGCACGUGUGUAUUGUCAGACUCCUACUGUUGAAAGUGACAGCUUAGUGUUUGUUUUCAAGUUAAAAAUGGUUGUAUGCUUGCGUUCAAAAAUGUUUCUCCCUGUUGCAUUUUUAAAUAUCAGGCCUGUAAUCUGCCAUACCAGUGAACCAAAAAUUACAGGAACCAUUUUUACCAAACAACUUAAAAAAAGAUUCCUCUAACUGUCUUGCUAUAUGUCACCUGGGAAUUUUGCUGCAGAUCACAACUGAGAAAAAGUAAACCUUUGGCCUUUUGGUUUACACUUUGUGUCCACCUCUGCACCAGCUGCGGAGCUCUGAAUCUCCGCUGUGCAUAGAAUCACCUUGUGCAGCCAACUGUAUCCCCUCUAACUCUCACCACACCUCUUCUGAUCAGGCUGGGAUUCCCAGCGAGUUCACACACCGUCUGCAUCGCUGUCACCUCCCACAUCCACCGUGGUUUGUUCUGCUGUGGCGAACGUGUAACUGCUCAUGAGUCAGUUAAACUAUGGCGGAGACAUGCUGUGGUUCGCUGAUCUUUACGGCCUCCCUGCUGAGAAUCCAUAUGAGAGAGACCCCCACGAUGUGUCACUCGUAACCACAAGGACACAAACCUGAAAUCUAUGUCUAAUCUCUCGUUUAUGAAGAAGUGAUACUACACUUAAGAGCUUCAUUUGUAUGGUGAGAUACUUAUCUGAACAAGGUCUAUUAUGGCGUUGAGACAGAACAGACUGAUGAUUCAUCAAUAACUGCAUUAUGAAAAUAAGUUAUUUUAGCCUCUAUGUUAAAUCCCUUUAUAGUGCAAUUAUAAACCAAUGUAUUUCCAGGCUAAAAAAGAAAUAAAGAAUUAACUAAGAA